AUCCAACUGACGAUUCAAAAUAGGACGAAGCAUACGUCUUGGAU
This 44-nucleotide non-coding RNA is filed under the name Schistosoma haematobium. Lineage: Eukaryota; Metazoa; Platyhelminthes; Trematoda; Strigeidida; Schistosomatidae. The record is from RNAcentral.